GGUCUGUUUUGCCUGAACCCAUCAACAACUGGGAAAUAAUCAACCACACUGAAAAUGG
Mesocricetus auratus (golden hamster) is the source of this 58-nucleotide unclassified non-coding RNA. Lineage: Eukaryota; Metazoa; Chordata; Mammalia; Rodentia; Cricetidae. The record is from Ensembl.